AGUGGCGGACGGGUGAGUAACACAUGGGUGACCUACCCCCACGUGAGGAAUACCGGCGAGAAAUCGCCGACAAAACCGCAUAGGCUGUCUUGGGUAGAGCCAAGAGAGCAAAGGGUCAUUCUUGCAAGAGAGAGAGCCGCGUGGGGAGGGGCCUGUGGCCGAUUAGCUAGUUGGGGGGGUAAAAGCCUCCCAAGGCGACGAUCGGUAGCUGGUCUGAGAGGACGAACAGCCACACUGGGAUUGAGAACGGCCCAGACUCCUACGGGGGGCAGCAGUGAGGAAUUUUCCGCAAUGGGCGCAAGCCUGACGGAGCAACGCCGCGUGCAGGAGGACGCUUUUCGGAGUGUAAACUGCUUUUCUGUGGGACGAGGAUGAACGGUACCACAGGAAGAAGCCCCGGCUAACUACGUGCCAGCAGCCGCGGUAAUGCGUAGGGGGCGAGCGUUGUCCGGAGUUACUGGGCGUAAAGGGCACGCAGGCGGUUCUGCGCGUUUCGCGUGACAGCGGGUGGCUUCACUGCCCGAGGAUGCGAAA
Molecule: ribosomal RNA, 534 nt
Filed under: uncultured bacterium
Lineage: Bacteria
Description: bacterial SSU rRNA
Rfam family: Bacterial small subunit ribosomal RNA
Source: RNAcentral